AAUUAUUGCUCCGAUAAUGGAAAAUACUGUGUAGUGACAAUUAUUAAAACAACAGUAAUAUAAAAUAUCAACGCAACAAUUAUUUAAUCAAUAAAAUACUGAACAGUAAUUACUGUAACAAUUAUUGAGUAGUGCCUUCUUACGUAAGAAUCAAUAAUUCAAAAAUACUGUGCAAUACCGUGUGCUACUGUGCAACAACGCGUAUUACUUUACUUUAACCACC
This 223-nucleotide long non-coding RNA is filed under the name Panax ginseng (ginseng). RNAcentral's name for it is "long non-coding RNA (PGIN_LNC014393)". The record is from RNAcentral. Lineage: Eukaryota; Viridiplantae; Streptophyta; Magnoliopsida; Apiales; Araliaceae.